This 693-nucleotide small RNA is filed under the name Pongo abelii (Sumatran orangutan). RNAcentral describes it as "retained intron". The record is from RNAcentral. Lineage: Eukaryota; Metazoa; Chordata; Mammalia; Primates; Hominidae.
GCGUGAGCUAUAACUGCUUGAGUCACUAUCCACUGGAGAUGAGAGCUUUACCGUGUGAGGAGGAAACAGGUUAUUUGGUUUUUACAAGGGAAUUCUGCCACCUAUCUUGGCUGAAACCCCAAAAAGAGCAGUGAAGUUUUUCACCUUUGAGCAGUACAAGAAAUUGCUGGGAUAUGUGUCACUGUCACCAGCAUUGACAUUCACCAUUGCUGGAUUGGGAUCUGGACUAACAGAAGCCAUUGUAGUUAACCCUUUUGAGGUAGUAAAAGUUGGCUUGCAAGCAAAUCGGAACACAUUUGCAAAGGUAACCAUUUAAUGUUUUUCUAUUGUUAGGGGCAUGUAAAAAUUUAUUUAUUUAUUUAUUUAUUUUGAGACAGAGUUUUGCUCUUGUUGCCCAGGCUGGAGUGCAAUGACGCAACCUUGGCUCACCGCAACCUCUGUCUCCCGGGUUCAAGCUAUUCUCCUGUCUCAGCCUCCCUAGUAGCUGGGAUUACAGGCAUGCACCACCAUGCCCAGCUAAUUUUGUAUAUUUUUUGUAGAGACAGGGUUUCUCCAUGUUGGUCAGGCUGGUCUCGAACUCAUGACCUCAGGUGAUCCACCCGCCUUGGCCUCCCAGAGUGCUGGGAUUGCAGAUGUGAGCCACCACGCCCGGCCAUAAAAACUUAUUUUUAAUGUGCAUGCGAAACAAUGGAC